Molecule: ribosomal RNA, 629 nt
Filed under: Extubocellulus spinifer
Lineage: Eukaryota; Bacillariophyta; Thalassiosirophyceae; Cymatosirales; Cymatosiraceae
Description: partial Eukaryotic large subunit ribosomal RNA
Rfam family: Eukaryotic large subunit ribosomal RNA
Source: RNAcentral
GCGAGUACAGGGGUGGCAAACCCCCGUGCGCAAUGAAAGUGACAGAGGUUGGACUGGUGUUAGAAGCCAGGCACAAUCCGCCGGCCACAAUCCUUCGGGAGAAAGGUCUGAGUGUGAGCAUGUGUGAUAAGACCCGAAAGGUGGCGAACUAUGCCUGAAUAGGACGAAGCCAGGGGAAACUCUGGUGGAGGCUCGUAGCGAUUCUGACGUGCAAAUCGAUCGUCAAAUUUGGGUAUAGGGGCGAAAGACUAAUCGAACCAUCUAGUAGCUGGUUCCCUCCGAAGUUUCCCUCAGGAUAGCUGGAGCUCUUUUUUUCAGUUUUGUCAGGUAAAGCGAAUGAUUAGAGGCCUCAGGGGUGGAACGUCCUUGACCUAUUCUCAAACUUUAAAUGGGUAAGAGCCCAGUGUUGCUUAAUCGAACACUGGCGUUGAAUGACGGUUGUUAGUGGGCCAUUCUGGGUAAGCUGGACUGGCGAUGCGGGAUGAACCGAACGUUGAGUUAAAGUGCCUCACUGCCCGCUCACCUAGAUCCCACAAACGGUGUUGGUUCAUUUUGACAGCAGGACGGUGGCCAUGGAAGUCGGAAUCCGCUAAGGAGUGUGUAACAACUCACCUGCCGAAUGAACUAGC